RNAcentral lists this long non-coding RNA (1998 nucleotides) under Pomacea canaliculata. RNAcentral describes it as "uncharacterized LOC112566229, transcript variant X1". Lineage: Eukaryota; Metazoa; Mollusca; Gastropoda; Architaenioglossa; Ampullariidae. The record is from RNAcentral.
UGGUUUCUGAAGCGGGUUGUCGCUCUCCAGUGAUGUGUGAGCUGCAUGGGCUACACGCCGCUCGUCGUACUGCGAAGGAAAAUUUAUAUCAGAUGAUGAGUUUGGAGUAAUUAGUCUUGAUGAAGAAGUAAAGAUGUAAAAAUACGGUUUAUGAUGAUUUUGACGUGAACUGUCCACAAGUAAAAUCAAGGAACAAACUAAGCGUUUCUAUUUUUUUUUUUUUUUAAUUUUCACAAACCGCCUCCCUAGCAGUCGCCCAGUCAAUGUAGAGACAUACAAUACAGAUGCUAUUUGUGGGAGGAUCAAAUCCACUUUUGUAUGAUGAUGGCGAGGUCACCGCUGUUAUAAAAUUACCUAUAUUCAAAAAAGUUUUUUUGUAACAAACCAAAACAAAGCCACACAAUUGUUACAUUAAGUAUUGCAUUACCGCAGAUGAAUAGGAAAAGGAUGUAAAAACAAUGGCCACCCGGGGAUCAGCAUCAAUCAUUGAUGAACACGGGAAGGGCAAUGGCAUGGCGAGAACACGAGAAAUAGAGAGAGCGGGAGCAUAGAGAGGGAGAACAGUGCAAAUAAAACAUAGAUACCCAAAGAGACAAAAUGGUACAGAGAGCUUAAAACGUUAUUAAAGUCUUACAAAGCAUACACGUGGAAAUUAAAGGUAUGCAUGCUUGCUUAGGAACAGACAGGUAAACAAACAGGCAGCCAGACAAAUCGACAGACCUGACAUGCAUACAGGCAGCCAGCCAGACAGACCAGACAUGCAUGCAAGCAUCAAGAGUUGCAGAGAUUAGUCACCGACCAUUCUCCAAAAAAAAAAAAGGGGGGGGGAUGUGUAGCAAGAGUACGCCGACUGGCCAAAACUCGCUGAUAAAAGCCGAAUGGAAGUCGGUUUCCAGAAGUCGCAGCCCACCGCCAGCUCCCGCGAGGGUCCAGCAGCUGCACGUCACAGCCAGUAGUCACUCGGCAUCGCUAACCUCACGUGACACUCAGCCAUGUCUGCCCCUGGCAUCCGCACGUCACUGCUGCUGAAGGUUGCUGCUUUGAUCCUCCUUGUCAGUCUCUGUGGGUCUGGCAGUCACGGUGCCCCGCGCAUCAAACGGGAUUCACAUAGAAUUGUGAUUAGAGCAGAUUCCAGUGAUGGAGACGACCCGUCCGUCAGACUACUGUUGCUACGACAGCUCUGCUUCAAACUGUUACUACAGGUCGGGACAGAACGACCUAGUUCUGUGGAUAACUUCUGCGCUUCUCGAAACCGACUUAACCGUCCUACCUCUUGAGACACGUUCUAAUGGGCAAGCUCUGUCUUCGAAUGGCAUCUUACAACUUUCUCGCGAUACAUUCGAGCACUGAAUUUAUUCUGUAGAUUAAUUUUUACAUCACAUCAGCUCUUGUUGUAUUUAUUCAAAUAUCAGACGAUAUCUACCGACCCCUUCUCUUGUCAGUAGUAUAAGCAGCAUAGUCAAUAGCGACUGUUAGUAAUAUUAGCGGCAUAGUCUGCUUGUCGAUAACGAUUGUUAUUAAUAUUAGUGGCAUAGUCUUGUCGAUAGCGAUUGUUAGUAACAUUAGCGACAUAGUCUGCAUGUCGAUAGCGAUUGUUAGUGGCAUACACGUAGUGCUUAACUUGUGGUUUCGGGUGUCAGAAGAGUGUAAUAUAAGCGGUGCCAGUUGAUAAGUCACGUGACCCUUAAUAAUCCAUUCUGUCCAUACCGCCCUCGUGGGGAUGUGUCGUCAGACGGUCCACGCACCACGGCCGUUGGCCACAAAGUGUUCACGCUGUGAAUGCUACGUAAGCGUUCACUCUGGAGACGCCAUGCAUGUGCAGUGCUGGUCUCCACCAUGAUCAUAUCGCCAGUAAAAGCCUUUACGGCGCGAACAGAAACAAUUGUCUACUAGAAGGUGGGGGUGGGUAGGAGAGGAAUCGUUCCCUGAUGACCUAUUAUCUCUUUCAAAGUUAGUACCAUCCUACAUGUAAACACAAUAAAAGUGCUUUAAUGCAUA